GAUGAACGCUGGCGGCGUGCUUAACACAUGCAAGUCGAACGGAAAGGCUCCUGCUUGCAGGGGUACUCGAGUGGCGAACGGGUGAGUAACACGUGGGUGAUCUGCCCUGCACUUCGGGAUAAGCCUGGGAAACUGGGUCUAAUACCGGAUAGGACCACAUUUUGGAUGGUGUGGUGGAAAGUUUUUCGGUGUGGGAUGAGCUCGCGGCCUAUCAGCUUGUUGGUGGGGUAAUGGCCUACCAAGGCGUCGACGGGUAGCCGGCCUGAGAGGGUGUACGGCCACAUUGGGACUGAGAUACGGCCCAGACUCCUACGGGAGGCAGCAGUGGGGAAUAUUGCACAAUGGGCGCAAGCCUGAUGCAGCGACGCCGCGUGGGGGAUGACGGCCUUCGGGUUGUAAACUCCUUUCGCUAGGGACGAAGCGUUUUUGUGACGGUACCUGGAGAAGAAGCACCGGCUAACUACGUGC
RNAcentral lists this ribosomal RNA (468 nucleotides) under uncultured bacterium. Its description in RNAcentral is "partial 16S ribosomal RNA". It matches the Rfam family "Bacterial small subunit ribosomal RNA", at positions 28 to 508 of the family's 1533-position model. The record is from RNAcentral.